This 440-nucleotide ribosomal RNA is filed under the name uncultured bacterium. RNAcentral describes it as "bacterial SSU rRNA". It matches the Rfam family "Bacterial small subunit ribosomal RNA", at positions 338 to 770 of the family's 1533-position model. The record is from RNAcentral.
CCUACGGGGCGCAGCAGUGGGGAAUAUUGCACAAUGGGCGCAAGCCUGAUGCAGCCAUGCCGCGUGUAUGAAGAAGGCCUUCGGGUUGUAAAGUACUUUCAGCAGUGAGGAAGGUUCAUGCGUUAAUAGCGUAUGGAUUUGACGUUAGCUGCAGAAGAAGCACCGGCUAACUCCGUGCCAGCAGCCGCGGUAAUACGGAGGGUGCGAGCGUUAAUCGGAAUUACUGGGCGUAAAGCGCAUGCAGGUGGUUUGUUAAGUCAGAUGUGAAAGCCCGGGGCUCAACCUCGGAAUUGCAUUUGAAACUGGCAGACUAGAGUACUGUAGAGGGGGGUAGAAUUUCAGGUGUAGCGGUGAAAUGCGUAGAGAUCUGAAGGAAUACCGGUGGCGAAGGCGGCCCCCUGGACAGAUACUGACACUCAGAUGCGAAAGCGUGGGGAGCA